CGGGGGGGGCUAGCGUUGUUCGGAAUUACUGGGCGUAAAGGGCGCGUAGGCGGCCUACUAAGUCGGACGUGAAAUCCCUCGGCUCAACCGGGGAACUGCGUCCGAUACUGGUGGGCUUGAAUCCGGGAGAGGGAUGUGGAAUUCCAGGUGUAGCGGUGAAAUGCGUAGAUAUCUGGAGGAACACCGGUGGCGAAGGCGGCAUCCUGGACCGGUAUUGACGCUGAUGCGCGAAAGCCAGGGGAGCAAACGGGAUUAGAUACCCCGGUAGUCCUGGCCCUAAACGAUGAGUGCUUGGUGUGGCGGGUAUCGAUCCCUGCCGUGCCGAAGCUAACGCAUUAAGCACUCCGCCUGGGGAGUACGGUCGCAAGGCUG
This 372-nucleotide ribosomal RNA is filed under the name uncultured organism. RNAcentral's name for it is "bacterial SSU rRNA". It matches the Rfam family "Bacterial small subunit ribosomal RNA", at positions 526 to 896 of the family's 1533-position model. The record is from RNAcentral.